UCUCUCCACCUCCUGCUUUGUUCUGAAAAAUCAGAAGAAGAGGGGGAGGAGAUAAUCCCCUUCAAAUGGAGCAUUUAUUACCACAGUUGGGCUUGAAGCGCUGCUUUCCGAGGGGAGUCAUCACAGAUUUAAGCCUCAAAAAACAAAACCAACCACCAAACAAAACCCUCAGUAUGUUCCUACAGGUGCAACAUGAUGUCCCUAUGGGCCAAAAUGGCUUUUAUUUGAUGUUCUGACUGUUCAUUAUACCAAGAAUCUUCUGAAAAGCAAAGUGACUUGCACUGGAGAGAUCCGAGAAAUGCACUCAUUCUAAAUAUACAAGCAGAAUUUCUGUGUUUUAAAGGUGAGAGAGACAAGAACAGCAUCAUCAGGAUUGUCAGAGGAGAGAAGUCUCUUGGCAUCUUGGUUUUUGAGACAGAUUGCUGUGAAAAUGGUAUCAGCUGUUUUGUCUACAGAACUCGAUGUAAAUUUUCUUGCUUAGGCAUUCUUGUAGCCUCUCCGUGAUGUCAAUUAAAUCAACGAAGUGUAAACAAAAGAAAAAUGGUGUGAAGAUGGUUAUCAGAGCUAUGUAUUUAAAUAUUAGCAACAGAUUUCCAACAUGAAAUUGCAAGGAAACAGCUGUGUUAGCAGAACGCUCAGAAGUCCUUGGGGUGAAAUGGGUUUCAACUCAGAGUGCUGAAGGAAUUAGCAUAUAUUAUAGCUGGACCCCUCUCCACAGUUUACGGAAGGUAUUGGGUAUCUGGGGAGGUCCUUGCUUACCAGAAGUUAGUCAAUGUUAUCUGUGUACACGGCAUGAAAGAAGACACAGGAAACUACAUAUCUUUCACGUUGUUUCACCUCAGUCCCUUUAAAAGUUAUGGAGAAGAUCGUCCUGGAGGGUACUGAAAGUCUGUUAAAGAACAAAGCUAUUAUCAGGCAUAGUCAAUAUGGCUUCAUCAAGGGAAAGUCCACCCUUAGUAAUUUGAUCUCUUUCUACAAUAAGGUGAUCGAUGAUCGGUGGCUGAAGGAAGUGAAUGUAAUCUUUCUGGAUGUAAGUAAAGGUUCUGAUACAAUAUUUCAUGGCAUCCUUCUGGGUAUACUGUCCAGCUAUGAAAUGAGCUGGUUUGUGCUAUUCCAGGUGAAAUGACUCAACGGUAGUUGAGCGGUAAAAGGAUCUGCCUCUAGGUGGCAGAUAGUCACCACCGUUAUUUGCCAGGGCUCAACUCUAAAGCUAUUCUCUUUCAAAAUUUUUGUCAGUGGUCUGGAUGAAGGACUGGAGUGCUACUUCUGCAACUUUGCUGACAAUACUAAACUGGGAAGUGCCAUCACCUCCCUAGAGAAAUGAGAGGCCUUGCAGAGAUCUAUAUACAUUGGAGCACGGAGCAAUGUCAUGAAGUUCAACAAAGGAAAGCGCAGGGUUCUGUACCUGGCAUAGAGUAAUGCUAGACACAGGCACAGACUAGGAGAUCAGCUGCUGGAGAGCAGCUUAACAGGAGGAGGCCUGGUGACAGCAGGCUCAGAAAGAGGUAGCAGUUGGCCAAAAUGGCAAAAUGCAUUGUGGAGUUCAUUAAAUACAGCAUAACCAGACAGCAAAAAAAAGUGCAAUAUUUUGAAGCCCUACUUUGAAUAUUGAGGUCAUAAUGUCAUAAAAAUGACAUUAAGGUCCUUGAAUACCAACCUUGAAAGCCAGAGGACAAUGAAGCUAGUAAAAAGAUUGAAAGUCAUGUCUAUGAGGAGAGGCUGAGGACACUUCGAUUCACGUUGGAGAAAAGGAUGCUGGGAGAUGAAAUCACGGUGCUCUACAGCUCCUUGAAGGAAAGUGGAGAGGGAGAAGCCAGUCUCUGCUCCAUGGUAACUGAUGACAUGACAUGCUGGAAGACAAAGCUGCGCAGAGGGAGGUACAGGCUGGAUAUCAGGAAAACUUUGUUUAUGUGAGUGUAGUCAAGCACUGGAACAGCUUCCUAGAGAGAUGGUUAAUGUCUCAUGCCUGUCAGUAUUCAAAAGACAUUUAGACAAUGCCCUCAAUAAUAUUCUUUAUCUUUUGUUUAUUCUAUUCAGUGGUAGGAACAGGAAACAUUUUUCUGCAAGACUUGGAAUAAUCUGCUUCUAAUUCACCUGUGCUGGAGAGUGGUUUUGAUCCUGACAGUCAGCAUUUACUACUAACAAGGUUACCCCAGUUCACAUAAAAAAGCGCAGAUAGGAAAAAAUAUAUAUAUAUAUUUCCAGGAAGCCUAUAUUCAAAGGAUUAACAAUUAAGAAAAUAUCAGAAUUACAAUGCUAUUGAUGUGUACAGAAAACUGAGUUUUUACAAUGGUUGUGAUGUUCCUUUUUUCUCGAUCAGUUCUACUGAAAUAAGAAGUAUUUGACUUAAUGCUGAUAUCUCUCCAGACCAAGAUUUACCUGAGAUUUCCUAGCAGAAAUAUAGGUAAUCUGGGUGAUAUUUUCCUUCUUCUUAUCUUUUUGUCUAAAUCUUAGUGUAAAUUCUUUUGAGAAGAGAUAGUCCUAUGUACAUAUAGAGUUAUUUACUAGGAGAUGAAACUCUAGACACGGUAUUUUAAAUUUGCAACAGAAAACUGAAUACCACUUAGUGCAGAGACAGAAACAAAUCCUUUGAAUAUCUGUAUAUUGUCAAGGUGUGUAAUUAGUGCCUGGAAGUAUAAAUAAUGGUGCUAGUGAUGUCACUGUUUUUCCACUGUUUUCAGAUUGCUAAAUUAACUCCUUCUUCAGGAGAUCUACACUUGGUAAGAGUUUACAUAUAAAUGAACUAAUCUGGUCCCAGAUGUUUCCUGUCUUUUCUUCAGAUGUUAAGUGUAUAAGCUUCUAGCUUGUGGCAAGUAUACAGGAGUUCACAGAAUGACAAGAGACGAGAAAGCUGAGCACUUUGCAGGUGCUGAUUCACAGUCAUAUGGAUACAUCAGUAUGCAGACCUACAGGUACACACAUUUCAGAGCAGGGGUACAUUGUGUAUGUAAUGAUUCUUUGCAAGGAUGAGUUGUAAGAACAAAACACAGAAUGAGGACUGUGACCAGAUGAGUUAGUUAUAAGA
This is a long non-coding RNA of Tympanuchus pallidicinctus (lesser prairie-chicken), 3025 nucleotides long. RefSeq lists it as uncharacterized. NCBI's taxonomy places the organism in Eukaryota, Metazoa, Chordata, Aves, Galliformes, Phasianidae. The transcript is spliced from 4 exons. The record is from RefSeq and is a predicted model, not a curated record.